This 774-nucleotide ribosomal RNA is filed under the name uncultured Actinomyces sp. RNAcentral describes it as "bacterial SSU rRNA". It matches the Rfam family "Bacterial small subunit ribosomal RNA", at positions 28 to 776 of the family's 1533-position model. The record is from RNAcentral. Lineage: Bacteria; Bacillati; Actinomycetota; Actinomycetes; Actinomycetales; Actinomycetaceae.
GACGAACGCUGGCGGCGUGCUUAACACAUGCAAGUCGAACGGUGAAGCGCCUUCCUUUUUGGUGGGUGUGGAUGAGUGGCGAACGGGUGAGUAACACGUGAGUAACCUGCCCCCUUCUUCUGGAUAACCGCAUGAAAGUGUGGCUAAUACGGGAUAUUCUGGGUCUGUCGCAUGAUGGGUCUGGGAAAGAUUGCGCCUUUUGGGUGUUUUUGGUGGGGGAUGGGCUCGCGGCCUAUCAGCUUGUUGGUGGGGUGAUGGCCUACCAAGGCGGUGACGGGUAGCCGGCCUGAGAGGGUGGACGGUCACACUGGGACUGAGACACGGCCCAGACUCCUACGGGAGGCAGCAGUGGGGAAUAUUGCACAAUGGGCGCAAGCCUGAUGCAGCGACGCCGCGUGAGGGAUGGAGGCCUUCGGGUUGUGAACCUCUUUCGCCAGUGAAGCAGGCCUGCCCCUUGGUGGGUGGGUUGACGGUAGCUGGAUAAGAAGCGCCGGCUAACUACGUGCCAGCAGCCGCGGUAAUACGUAGGGCGCGAGCGUUGUCCGGAAUUAUUGGGCGUAAAGAGCUCGUAGGCGGCUGGUCGCGUCUGUCGUGAAAUCCUCUGGCUUAACUGGGGGCUUGCGGUGGGUACGGGCCGGCUUGAGUGCGGUAGGGGAGGCUGGAACUCCUGGUGUAGCGGUGGAAUGCGCAGAUAUCAGGAAGAACACCGGUGGCGAAGGCGGGUCUCUGGGCCGUUACUGACGCUGAGGAGCGAAAGCGUGGGGAGCGAACAGG